UACAGGGGGGGCAAGCGUUGUUCGGAAUUACUGGGCGUAAAGGGUCUGUAGGUGGCCAACUAAGUCAGACGUGAAAUCCCUCAGCUUAACUGGGGAACUGCGUCUGAUACUGGAUGGCUUGAGUGUGGGAGAGGAAUGCGGAAUUCCAGGUGUAGCGGUGAAAUGCGUAGAUAUCGGGAGGAACACCUGUGGCGAAAGCGGCUCACUGGACCACAACUGACGCUGAGGCGCGAAAGCUAGGGGAGCAAACAGG
This 253-nucleotide ribosomal RNA is filed under the name uncultured bacterium. RNAcentral describes it as "partial 16S ribosomal RNA". It matches the Rfam family "Bacterial small subunit ribosomal RNA", at positions 524 to 776 of the family's 1533-position model. The record is from RNAcentral.